AAUGAACGUUGGCGGCGUGGAUUAGGCAUGCGAGUCGAGCGAGAACCCCGCAAGGGGGGACAGCGGCGAAAGGGACAGUAAUGUGUAGAUUAUCUGCCCUCAGGCCCGGGAUAGCUGCGGGAAACUGCAGGUAAUACCGGAUAACAUCUCCGGAUCAAAGGUGUGAUUCCGCCUGAGGAUGAGUCUGCAUCCUAUUAGCUAGUUGGGGGGGUAAUGGCCUACCAAGGCAUGGAUGGGUAGCAGGUGUGAGAGCACGACCUGCGUCAUUGGGACUGAGACACCGCCGAGACACCUACGGGGGCCGGAAGUCGAGGGGCUUCGGCAAUGGGGGAAAGCCUGACCGGGCGACGCGGCGUGUGGAAUAACGGCCUUCGGGUUGUAAACCACUGUCAGUGGGAAUGAGAUGCAGGUGGGUUCUCCCAUCUGUUUGACAUAGCCUCAGAGGAAGGACGGGCUAAGUUCGUG
This 465-nucleotide ribosomal RNA is filed under the name uncultured bacterium. RNAcentral describes it as "partial 16S ribosomal RNA". It matches the Rfam family "Bacterial small subunit ribosomal RNA", at positions 29 to 507 of the family's 1533-position model. The record is from RNAcentral.